This is a long non-coding RNA of Ruditapes philippinarum (Manila clam), 340 nucleotides long. RefSeq lists it as uncharacterized. The transcript is spliced from 3 exons. The record is from RefSeq and is a predicted model, not a curated record. NCBI's taxonomy places the organism in Eukaryota, Metazoa, Mollusca, Bivalvia, Venerida, Veneridae.
UUUAUGAGAGAGUACCUGUCGGAUGCGAACGUGUGGUUUCUGGAGCUAGCCGGUGAAUCAGCUCUUCAAUUUAAAGGGUAUGCAGAAGACUUAGAAUAGUGAAAAAAGUGUGUGAUUACAGACUUGUGUGUGAGGUUUUGAUUGUGGCGCAGUCAGUUGUUUGCCGAGAAGCCUUGAAAACUGUGUAUUGCCCCCUUAAGAGCAAAAUUUGAUUUUUUGUGUGUGAUUACAGACUUGUGUGUGAGGUUUUGAUUGUGGCGCAGUCAGUUGUUUGCCGAGAAGCCUUGAAAACUGUGUAUUGCCCCCUUUAAACAGGAAGCAGAUUGCUGAGACUGAUUUA